CGAUCGCGUGCUCCAUGCGGACCAGGGCGCGCGGGUACUCGCCGCGCAGAUACAGGUACCCGUGCCGGGCGCCGGUCGCGUACGCGGCGAUCGUC
This 95-nucleotide transfer RNA is filed under the name Streptomyces althioticus. RNAcentral describes it as "tRNA-Ser". The record is from RNAcentral. RNAcentral also lists the same sequence under 1 other name. Lineage: Bacteria; Bacillati; Actinomycetota; Actinomycetes; Kitasatosporales; Streptomycetaceae.